GACGAACGCUGGCGGCGUGCUUAACGCAUGCAAGUCGAACGGUAAGGCCCUUCGGGGUACACGAGUGGCGAACGGGUGAGUAACACGUGGGUGAUCUGCCCUGCACUUCGGGAUAAGCCUGGGAAACUGGGUCUAAUACCGGAUAGGACCACUGCCUGCAUGGGUGGUGGUGGAAAGCUUUUGCGGUGUGGGAUGGGCCCGCGGCCUAUCAGCUUGUUGGUGGGGUGAUGGCCUACCAAAGCGACGACGGGUAGCCGGCCUGGGAGGGUGACCGGCCACACUGGGACUGAGAUACGGCCCAGACUCCUACGGGAGGCAGCAGUGGGGAAUAUUGCACAAUGGGCGCAAGCCUGAUGCAGCGACGCCGCGUGAGGGAUGACGGCCUUCGGGUUGUAAACCUCUUUCAGCACCGACGAAGCGCAAGUGACGGUAGGUGCAGAAGAAGGACCGGCCAACUACGUGCCAGCAGCCGCCGUAA
Molecule: ribosomal RNA, 478 nt
Filed under: uncultured bacterium
Lineage: Bacteria
Description: partial 16S ribosomal RNA
Rfam family: Bacterial small subunit ribosomal RNA
Source: RNAcentral